Molecule: long non-coding RNA, 1845 nt
Organism: Agrilus planipennis (emerald ash borer)
Lineage: Eukaryota; Metazoa; Arthropoda; Insecta; Coleoptera; Buprestidae
Exons: 4
Source: RefSeq, a predicted model, not a curated record
AUCUUUAAGAGUAGUGAUCAGGCGAUGGAACUUGCACGAAGCAAAAACGCAGAUAAAUUGAAUUCUGUAAAACGGGGAUGAAACUAAGCACGCGGUUGGUUACAGCGUCACAGACAUUGAAUUUAACGCAUCUGAUUGGCGUUUGUCUACGUCAUCAGUGCUUCAUGUGGUAGCAAUCGCAAUCUCGCGACAAGCCUGGGAGGCGUUUGGCACAUCAUAAGUUCAUAAAGUUUCGAGGUGGAAGGACGUGUUUUCGCGCCUCUGAAAUUCAACUUAUCGAGCUAAUUUUUUCGUAAAAUUAGUUUUAAUUUGUUGUACGUCUGAAAGAUUAGUUUGAUUGAUUCAUAUUCUGUUACUAUUCUUCGUAUUUGCCCACAGCAUAAAUUAAAUUGACAAAAUUGUUAAAGGUUAUAUCUUCAAACAGACAUCAGGUGGCCAUGUCGUCAUUUUUAAUGUUAUUUUAUUCGUCUUUGAAUGGUUUUUUAUUGCGUGUUUUUGUUUUAUUUCAUGUUUCAUUUAUUUAAUACGACUGUUUAAUUCUUUUUUUUAUCCAUUCUCCGCAUAUAUUUCGACUUUCAUUUGAGAAAAAGGAAGAAAGUGAAAAGGAUUAAAUAUUUAAAUUUUCUGCGUAACAGAUGUCUAUCAAAUUAAUUAGUUAAUAAUUGUUUUUGUCCGUUUACAUAGAUUAGCCAACGAUUGAUAGAGAUUGGAACUGAUAUCCUUUGCUUACUGAAAAGAAGUCGUCUCCUAUGGUGUUUUAGCUGUUAACUUUUCAUCUUGAAGGCUCUUGCAGUUAAUUAAGGAACAUUAAAAGAACUCCGGAUACCAUUAAAUUAUGAAAUUAUGGAGCAUUGGUUGUAUUAGUCCUCAUUUGCUCCGGAAAGUAGCUGUGCCCAUGGUUCUAAAGAAAGCAUGAAAGUGCCUUUUUUCCAUUGGGAACGAAGCUGUUAAAUUUUCAUCCUGGAUGCUCUUGUAGUUAAUUAAGGGAUGUUAGAAGAACUGCAGAUGUCAUUAAAUUAUGGAGCAUUGAUUGUGUCGGUUCUCAUUAACUCAAAAAAGUGACUGUUCCUAUGGUCAUUUAGAAAGCAUGAAAGUGCCUUUCCAUUGGGAACGGAGACAAUGUGCUGAAGAAGUGUGCUGCUGAAGGAGGGAUUUAUGACAGUAAACUUGUAUGUAAGAGUAUCAAUUAAAAUUAGUAAAUGAGGGUCCCAGGAACUUGAUUUCUUGGAGAUUUGUAACUUGCUUCAAUAGACAACUUUUCAGAAAUGAAAAAAGCAGAAUUAUUGUGGAACUCACCUUUCAAUCAAUGUGAAAGUUAACUUCUAACUUUACCACUAUAUCGCCACGUGAAAAUAUUACUUUUUUACUUUAUUUAAAAGUGAUAAUUACUUUUUCUUGCCUGUUUCUAUAUAGAUUGUCCCACAAAUGACAAAGAAUUGCAGUUAAUUUUGAUGCCACUGAAGCAACCGAUGCUUUUGAUGUCUUCACCUUGCAACGUUAUGCAGUUAAUUUUUGCCGUAACAACGGGAGGCAGUUGGAAAUUAAUUAAUUUGGAAGCGACUGGAACAACAAAUUGCCUGCAGUGGUAUCCCUCCUAGAUUUGGUUUGCUCAUCACACUGGUAGACUUUAGAACGCCGCUUUCUACAAUUAAUUAGAAGAAAGCAUUUAUCAUUGAUCAAUCUAUGGAUUUUCUAUUUAACAGUUUUCUAUCGUCUGCAUCGUAAAUUGAUGUCGUGAUAUUUGACAGUUAUCUAUGUCGCGUUCUAUGGUUGAGAUGUAAAAUGGCGUAAUGUUUGUUAUUUUAUUACUCAACUAUUUUACUUGCUUUUUGAAGCGUUUUUAUG